UAACACUAGCAACCCAAGUGGUAGUCAUUUUUAUUUGGCUUAAAGCGUCCGUAGUCUGAUUAGUAAGUUCUCUGUGAAAUCCUGUUGCUUAACAAUAGGGCUUGCAGAGAAUACUUCUAAUCUUGGAGCCAGGAGAGGUUAGGGGUAUUCCAGGGGUAGCGGUGAAAUGCUAUAAUCCCUGGAGGACCACCGAUAGCGAAGGCACCUAACUAGAAUGGGCUCGACGAUGAGGGACGAAAGCUAGGGGAGCAAACCGGAUUAGAUACCCGGGUAGUCCUAGCCGUAAACGAUGUGGGCUGAGUGUUUCUUGAACUUCGGGUUCAAGAAGUGCGAAGGGAAACCGUUAAGCCCACCGCCUGGGGAGUACGGUCGCAAGGCUG
This 380-nucleotide ribosomal RNA is filed under the name uncultured archaeon. RNAcentral describes it as "bacterial SSU rRNA". It matches the Rfam family "Archaeal small subunit ribosomal RNA", at positions 471 to 851 of the family's 1478-position model. The record is from RNAcentral.